AGACGGAGGGGGCUAGCGUUGUUCGGAAUUACUGGGCGUAAAGAGCAUGUAGGCGGUAUAGUAAGUUGGGAGUGAAAGCCCGGGGCUCAACCCCGGAACUGCUCUCAAAACUACUAAACUAGAGUUUGGUAGGGGAUGAUGGAAUUCCUAGUGUAGAGGUGAAAUUCUUAGAUAUUAGGAGGAACACCAGUGGCGAAGGCGAUCAUCUGGGCCAAUACUGACGCUGAGAUGCGAAAGCGUGGGGAGCAAACAGGAUUAGAUACCCUAGUAGUCC
Molecule: ribosomal RNA, 274 nt
Filed under: uncultured bacterium
Lineage: Bacteria
Description: partial 16S ribosomal RNA
Rfam family: Bacterial small subunit ribosomal RNA
Source: RNAcentral